This 464-nucleotide ribosomal RNA is filed under the name Vreelandella stevensii. RNAcentral's name for it is "partial 16S ribosomal RNA". It matches the Rfam family "Bacterial small subunit ribosomal RNA", at positions 338 to 795 of the family's 1533-position model. Lineage: Bacteria; Pseudomonadati; Pseudomonadota; Gammaproteobacteria; Oceanospirillales; Halomonadaceae. The record is from RNAcentral.
CCUACGGGCGGCUGCAGUGGGGAAUAUUGGACAAUGGGGGCAACCCUGAUCCAGCCAUGCCGCGUGUGUGAAGAAGGCCCUCGGGUUGUAAAGCACUUUCAGUGAGGAAGAACGCCUGGUGGUUAAUACCCAUCAGGAAAGACAUCACUCACAGAAGAAGCACCGGCUAACUCCGUGCCAGCAGCCGCGGUAAUACGGAGGGUGCGAGCGUUAAUCGGAAUUACUGGGCGUAAAGCGCGCGUAGGUGGCUUGAUAAGCCGGUUGUGAAAGCCCCGGGCUCAACCUGGGAACGGCAUCCGGAACUGUCAAGCUAGAGUGCAGGAGAGGAAGGUAGAAUUCCCGGUGUAGCGGUGAAAUGCGUAGAGAUCGGGAGGAAUACCAGUGGCGAAGGCGGCCUUCUGGACUGACACUGACACUGAGGUGCGAAAGCGUGGGUAGCAAACAGGAUUAGAUACCGUGUAGUC